CCUACGGGGAGCAGCAGUGGGGAAUAUUGCACAAUGGGCGCAAGCCUGAUGCAGCAACGCCGCGUGAACGAAGAAGGCGCUUGGGUCGUAAAGUUCUGUUCUGAGGGAAGAAGAAAGUGACGGUACCUCAGGAGAAAGCCCCGGCAAACUACGUGCAAGCGGCCGCGGUAAUACGUAGGGGGCAGGCGUGGUCCGGAAUUAUUGGGCGAAAAGAGUACGUAGGCGGUCUGUUAAGCGCAUGGGAAAAGGCAUAGGUUCAACCAAUGUGAGCCUUGCAAACUGGCAGACUUGAGUACAGGAGAGGAAAUCGGAAUUCCUAGUGUAGCGGUGAAAUGCGUAGAUAUUAGGAGGAACACCGGUGGCGAAGG
RNAcentral lists this ribosomal RNA (368 nucleotides) under uncultured bacterium. RNAcentral's name for it is "partial 16S ribosomal RNA". It matches the Rfam family "Bacterial small subunit ribosomal RNA", at positions 338 to 721 of the family's 1533-position model. The record is from RNAcentral.